GGUUUCUUGAGGAAAAAUAAGGGAUCUGACCUGCCCUAUGAAUAAUGAGGUUGAAUGGCCGCGGUAUUUUGACCGUGCGAAGGUAGCAUAAUCAUUAGUCUUUUAAUUGUGGACUGGAAUGAACGGUUGGACGUAAUAAUGUCUUUUUUAUUUUUAAUAAUUGAAUUUUACUUUUUAGUGAAGAGGCUAAAAUAGAACCAAAAGACAAGAAGACCCUAUCAAGUUUUAUUAUUAAGUAUUAGAUAAGAAGAGGAAAACGAGUUAUAAUAGUAGAUAAUUUUGCUGGGGCGGUGAGUAAGAACUAAUUAAGAUCCAAAAUUUUUGAUUAUUUGUUUAAAUUACUGUAGGGAUAACAGCGUAAUCUUAUUUAAGAGUUCAUAUCGACAAUAAGGGUUGCGACCUCGAUGUUGGAUUAGAAUUCCUUCCUGGAGCAGAAUUUAGGAGUGGUGGUCUGUUCGACCAUAAAAAUUCUACA
RNAcentral lists this ribosomal RNA (475 nucleotides) under Allothereua maculata. RNAcentral describes it as "partial 16S ribosomal RNA". It matches the Rfam family "Bacterial large subunit ribosomal RNA", at positions 1819 to 2600 of the family's 2925-position model. Lineage: Eukaryota; Metazoa; Arthropoda; Chilopoda; Scutigeromorpha; Scutigeridae. The record is from RNAcentral.